RNAcentral lists this ribosomal RNA (95 nucleotides) under Oscillospiraceae bacterium. RNAcentral describes it as "partial 16S ribosomal RNA". It matches the Rfam family "Bacterial small subunit ribosomal RNA", at positions 1 to 94 of the family's 1533-position model. Lineage: Bacteria; Bacillati; Bacillota; Clostridia; Eubacteriales; Oscillospiraceae. The record is from RNAcentral.
UUUUUAGAGAGUUUGAUCCUGGCUCAGGACGAACGCUGGCGGCGUGCCUAACACAUGCAAGUCGAACGAAGUUUUUAUGGAAUGCGACUUCGGUC